Molecule: unclassified non-coding RNA, 148 nt
Organism: Pongo abelii (Sumatran orangutan)
Lineage: Eukaryota; Metazoa; Chordata; Mammalia; Primates; Hominidae
Rfam family: Metazoan signal recognition particle RNA
About the family: The signal recognition particle (SRP) is a universally conserved ribonucleoprotein. It is involved in the co-translational targeting of proteins to membranes.
Source: Ensembl
GCUGGGUGUGGCGGUGGGCACCUAUAAUCCCAGCUACUAGGGAGGCUGAGGCGGGAGACUUGCUUGAACCCAGGAGGUGGAGGUUGCAGUGAGCCGAGAUUGCGCCACUGCACUCCAGCCUGGGUGACAGAGCAAGACUCUGCCUCAA